UUUAAAUAAAUGUAGGUUGAGUUUGUUUUAAGUUUAUAUAUUAUAUAAGAAUUAAAUAAAAUAAUUUUAUUUUGGUUAGUAAAUUAGUGGGGGCUUUUUUCUACAUGAUAAAUUAUUGAAUUUUAAUGAAAAUUGAGAAUUGAAUUUCAGUGGUUUAUUUUUUGGUUUAAUGGGGGUUAGAUUGAGGAUUUAUUAUGUGAGAAGUUAAUUGUGUGCCAGCAUCUGCGGUUAUACAUUUUCUAAAAAUUAAUUUGUUUUAUUUAUUUGUUAAUUGGUUAAGUAUAACUUUUAGGAUGAAGAUUUAGGUGAAAUUAUUAAUUAUCUAUGUUUGGGUUGAGAUAAAGUGUUUAAAUAAUUAGUUAAAAUAGGAUUAGAUACCCUGGUAUUAGUUUUAGUUCAGAACAUUUGGAAGAUUAAAAGUUAAGGAAUUUGGCGGUAUUUUAUUCUUAUUAGGGGAAUUUGUUUUUUAAUCGAUGAUUCUCGAUUUAACUUACCUUUUUUAUUGGCUUAUAUAUCGUUGUUGGGGUAUUUUGAGAAUAAAAUAUUUAUUUAUUUAUUGGUUUUAAUUAAGUUCAAAUCAAGGUGUAGUUUAUAAUAAGGUAAAAAUGAAUUACAAUAAUUGUGUAUUAUAAAUGGAUUUUGUAUUGAAAUAUACAUUUGAAGGUGGAUUUAAAAGUAAAUUUUUUUGAGAGAAGAUUUGAAGAGAGUUCUAAAGUGUGUACAUAUUGCCCGUCAUUUUCAAUUAUUAUGGAGAAUUUGAAACAAGUCGUAACAUAGUUGGUGUACUGGAAAGUG
RNAcentral lists this non-coding RNA (795 nucleotides) under Aposthonia borneensis. Lineage: Eukaryota; Metazoa; Arthropoda; Insecta; Embioptera; Oligotomidae. The record is from RNAcentral.